UGGGUUGGCCAAAAAGUUCGUUCAUGUUUUCCCAUAAGACAUUACGAAAACCCAGACAAACUUUUUGGCAAACCCAAU
RNAcentral lists this microRNA precursor (78 nucleotides) under Tursiops truncatus (common bottlenose dolphin). RNAcentral's name for it is "miRNA (ENSTTRG00000025324.1)". Lineage: Eukaryota; Metazoa; Chordata; Mammalia; Artiodactyla; Delphinidae. The record is from RNAcentral.